Molecule: ribosomal RNA, 450 nt
Filed under: uncultured bacterium
Lineage: Bacteria
Description: bacterial SSU rRNA
Rfam family: Bacterial small subunit ribosomal RNA
Source: RNAcentral
AGCCAGACUCCUACGGGAGGCAGCAGUGGGGAAUAUUGCACAAUGGGGGGAACCCUGAUGCAGCGACGCCGCGUGAGUGAAGAAGUAUUUCGGUAUGUAAAGCUCUGUCAGCAGGGAAGAAGAAAGACGGUACCUGACCAAGAAGCCCCGGCUAACUACGUGCCAGCAGCCGCGGUAAUACGUAGGGGGCAAGCGUUAUCCGGAUUUACUGGGUGUAAAGGGAGCGUAGACGGCAGUGCAAGUCUGGAGUGAAAGGCGGGGGCUCAACCCCCGGACUGCUCUGGAAACUGUACGGCUGGAGUGCAGGAGAGGUAAGUGGAAUUCCUAGUGUAGCGGUGAAAUGCGUAGAUAUUAGGAGGAACACCAGUGGCGAAGGCGGCUUGCUGGGCUUUUACUGACGCUGAGGCUCGAAAGUGUGGGGAGCAAACAGGAUUAGAUACCCUGGUAAGA